This 204-nucleotide ribosomal RNA is filed under the name uncultured bacterium. RNAcentral describes it as "partial 16S ribosomal RNA". It matches the Rfam family "Bacterial small subunit ribosomal RNA", at positions 1300 to 1500 of the family's 1533-position model. The record is from RNAcentral.
GUAGUCUGCAACCCGAACCUACAUGAAGCUGGAAUCGCUAGUAAUCGCGGAUCAGAAUGCCGCGGUGAAUACGUUCCCGGGUCUUGUACACACCGCCCGUCACACCAUGGGAGUCGGAAAUGCCCGGGAGUCUGUGACCUAACCGUAAGGAAGGAGCAGCCGAAGGCAGGUCGGAUGACUGGGGUGAAGUCGUAACAAGGUACC